GAACGCUGGCGGCGUGCCUAACACAUGCAAGUCGAACGAAGCUCUGGAGCAGAUUCUUCGGAUGAAGUGAAGGAAGACUUAGUGGCGGACGGGUGAGUAACGCGUGAGCAACCUGCCUUUCAGAGGGGGAUAACAGUUGGAAACGACUGCUAAUACCGCAUAACGUAUCGUUGUCGCAUGGCAGUGAUACCAAAGCUGAGGCGCUGAAAGAUGGGCUCGCGUCCGAUUAGAUAGUUGGUGGGGUAACGGCCUACCAAGUCGACGAUCGGUAGCCGGACUGAGAGGUUGAACGGCCACAUUGGGACUGAGACACGGCCCAGACUCC
This 325-nucleotide ribosomal RNA is filed under the name uncultured Oscillospiraceae bacterium. RNAcentral describes it as "bacterial SSU rRNA". It matches the Rfam family "Bacterial small subunit ribosomal RNA", at positions 31 to 339 of the family's 1533-position model. Lineage: Bacteria; Bacillati; Bacillota; Clostridia; Eubacteriales; Oscillospiraceae. The record is from RNAcentral.